CGCCUUGCUGCUGGAUCCCUUUGAUGACACAGCUCCCGUGCUAAAACUGGCAUAAUCAGAAGGAUGCCCAAGUUGAAAAACAGAACAAUUCAAGGUGGAAAGAAAAUCUGAAAACACUGAAUAUCUUGCCCAAAGUGAUAGUGGAAUAACAAGCAAUGGAUUCACCAUCCAUCCAUCUUAUCUGUAAGGUUCUUAACUGUGUGCUUCUGAGCUAUUCUUGCAUCAAGCAAAUAGCAAGAUUGUUUGAUUUCAUUAAUGUCCAGGAACACAAAAUGGAAAGAUGCGUGACGUCUUCCUUGAAUAGUGUGCACAGCUGACAAAGGGAAGAAAAGAAAACAGGGUCUCCAUGAUUGCAGCAGCAUAAUGUCUUCAUGACAACCCAGACACGCUCCUCUUCAACACGGAAGCAGUGCUGAGCCUGAAGUGCCUUCUUUGUGUGGAUGAAGAUGAUUCCAGAAAUCACCCUCAGUCUUCCAUGUGUAUGACACAGCUAUGGGCAUAGGCAUCCACAUCUGUGUGUUUUCACACACAUGCAAACAUACAUACACAAGUAUAUACCGCAAACCACAUACACACAUGAAAAUGGAAGGAGAUAAAGCUAGGUAUGUGUAUGUGAAUAGACUCAGGCAGUAGAAGCUAGAGGAAGGUACAAACACCGUGGAGCCCCAUAAAGAAGAAACAAACCUAAGGAUGACACUUGGGGUGGCCUCAGUAGUAUAGGUUAAAGACCAAAAGUUAUCUGAGAAAGUGUGGAGGGAGCGGGAGGAAGACACUUCCAAAGUACUCAGUGGCUACAGGAGAAGCUAGAAGAAAGCACCAAGACUACUGGCCCGUCCAAUCAGUUCAGGACCUGUCCUGUCACUUAGUUUUGGAGAGAACUGUAAACAUAGACAAAGUUGGGGAUGAAACUUUGGUGUUAGAAGUCACCAACAAGAAUGAAUUCCAAGCGGAGGCCCAAGGUGGCAAACUCCAUCACCUUGAAGCAAGGGAGAGUAAGGGAAAAUCCAAGGAAAUGGCCUAUGUAUUUUUUGAUGGGAAGCAAGAGAGGGUAUAUGGAGAUACAGCUAGCUUGAAUAAUUUCUCCAGGCUCUGAAAUAAGUGUGGAAGAAAUUCUAUCUGCUUAGCAUGUCUGGAUGUGGUAACUAGAAAAGAAUAAGAGAUUUUGACCUGAUUGUGAGAAUCCAGUAAGCCCAAUAGUGGAGGUGGCUGUGGCUGUGGCUGUGAGUUUAGGUUUGGUUAUCUUGCAUAUGGAAAGCAUGAGGCCCAUCAGGUUGUUCUCUAUGUCGAGGAACUGGGUUAACCUAUGAAGGUCAGUCUCUGUGUGAUGAGCAGGACUACAGAUUUCAAAAUAUAAAAUAAAUAGGCACAAGUGUACCCGAUAUAAAAGGAAAUUUAAUCUGAGACCGCUUAAAAACUUCUUCUACCACAAACCUCAGUACAAGUCAACCAGAUUGAUGUAUUUUAUCAAAUACAAUUUAUGGCCUUCAUGCUGUACCCCUACUCCCACCUGGUAUUGGCCAGUUAGACAUGAGGGAUGAUUUCAGACACUCAUCCCUCAAUCCAGACAUGCAUCCUCUCUACCUUCAGCCCUGCGCACUCCCAAGGCAGCACAAGCCACUUUUCUCCUAUACAGAUCUUUGCUUCUUGUCAGAGGGUCCACAGAACAUCCCAGUGCAGCUCUCCUGACAGGGCUGGAGAUUGUGCCCAGAGAGAAGAGCUCCCAGCUUCUAUUUUAUGUUCUCACUCUUCUGUACGGCUGUGGCUGGUAACAAGGAGAGUCAGGACAUCCUCAGAAUGGGAUCAUGCUGGUUUGUAUUGGAGGGGAACUUUGUAUAUCUCUUGGAAUAAGGAGAGUUUCAUCUUCUGCUUACAAUUACAACAGAAAAGAUCCUCAGAAUGAACUCAAUAAAAAAUAGUCUUUAAUGUUCUACUCUAAGGACACAAAGAUAUCUGAACUGGUAUAAAUCAUGACAACAGGCUAACAAUAUGAGGUGAGUAAAAUUGAAGCUCUGUCUUCCUGAUUAAUAGACAAAUUCUCAAUGGUUUGACAAUAUUAUUUUUUUUUAGAGAAUGGAAAUCAUGCCAGCUGAACAGAAGGGAAAAUAGUUCUAUAAAGCUAGUCCAUAGGGAUGAAGCUUUCAGGUCAGAUCCAGCUCAAUUCCUCUGAGUCCUAUGUCUGAAGUAAGUGAUGGCCUCAGCAGUAUGGACUUUACCUCAAACCUCUAGGAGGCAACCAAGGGCAACAGCAAUAGCUGAUAUUGUUUUGGGAGUUGCUUGGAUUCCCUCUGACCAAAACCUCAAAAGGAGAUUUCUCUUUCCUAUUCCUGAGACUUUUUGUUAGAUGGUCUAUGGCUCUUAACAGCUGUCUAAUAGAAGUUGUUAAUGCCUAUUAGAAGGGAAACUGUGCCAGCUCAACAGAAGGGAAAUAGUACCUGGUACUGUAACUACCCCAGCAGAGGGAGGUCAUAGAGCUUAGAGGAGGAUGUACUACUGCCAUUUUCCUAAACCAACAUAAUUCCUAACUGCAUUCUAAAUACUUAUGCUCAUAACUCUCACUCCUGAUCAAAGAAGUUUCUUAUUGCAGCAGGUGCCAUCACGUAAAGCCACAACUGGUCAAACUGAAAAGAACAACUAACCAUGGAGUGCCUACUCCCAGGUGAUAUAUCUGCAAUACAAUCCUAAUGCCUUACUGGCUUGGGCAACAUUAGGGAAGGAGUGGGAAGGCUGUGAAAAGCCAGGAAAUCCACUGUGAACUUGUGUCUUCUCUAUGUUAAAGGGAAGCUACACUUAGAAAAUCUCAACAAUACGGCUGCCUAAACAAGACCUGAACAAUGCAAAUACCAGUUGACAUACCAACAUGCACAGCAGAAGCCUCAUAGGGCCCCAUCCCUAGAUGAAGAGCUACAGGCAAUUAAUGACUUCUGAGAAAGGGAGAAUUAGUCCUCCUCAGGAAUGAGCCCCCUAAUUAGUUAUCCAAUAUCACAUGGUUGGCUCUAAAACAUAUACAUACAGUUGAUACUAUGCAGACUCAGCAGGUCAUAUUUAUGUAUUUAUUCAUAUAUGUAACAAUAAUUAAAGAUAAAGAGGCCAUAAAUUUGAAAGUAGAGGAAAGACAUGGGGGUAGU
Molecule: long non-coding RNA, 3125 nt
Organism: Peromyscus californicus insignis
Lineage: Eukaryota; Metazoa; Chordata; Mammalia; Rodentia; Cricetidae
Exons: 4
Source: RefSeq, a predicted model, not a curated record